AGAGAAAAGACGAUGAUGUGUUUCCAAGCACAUAUCUGACUUAUUAUAUGUGUGGAUGACAAUCAAGCUGAGUCUUUUCCA
Molecule: small nucleolar RNA, 81 nt
Filed under: Microtus ochrogaster (prairie vole)
Lineage: Eukaryota; Metazoa; Chordata; Mammalia; Rodentia; Cricetidae
Description: Small nucleolar RNA SNORD121A (ENSMOCG00000010874.1)
Rfam family: Small nucleolar RNA SNORD121A
Source: RNAcentral